GGGUGUGAAUAUACCAGCACUAAUGCACCGGAUUCCAUCAGAACUCCGAAGUUAAACGUGCUUGGGCGAGAGUAGUACUAAGAUGGGUGACUUCUUGGGAAGUUCUCGUGUUGCACCCC
Molecule: non-coding RNA, 119 nt
Organism: Ricinus communis (castor bean)
Lineage: Eukaryota; Viridiplantae; Streptophyta; Magnoliopsida; Malpighiales; Euphorbiaceae
Source: Rfam